GCACACGAGUGAAAUUCAAAAAUAGGUUAUGGGUUGUCAAGACUAUUAAAGCAAACAAAGCUCUUGAGAUUGAGGAUCCUCAGAGUUGGUGACAAGGAAAUUUCCGAGAUUUGGUUGGUGUUAUGAAGGAAGGAAGAAUGCUAACAGAAAAUAUCAACACCUACUGAUGGGUGUUUGGGCUUUAUCGGGUCAAGCUAAUGACGUUAAAGAAGCGCUUCCUGG
Molecule: long non-coding RNA, 222 nt
Filed under: Vigna radiata
Lineage: Eukaryota; Viridiplantae; Streptophyta; Magnoliopsida; Fabales; Fabaceae
Description: long non-coding RNA (VRAD_LNC000680)
Source: RNAcentral